Molecule: ribosomal RNA, 527 nt
Filed under: uncultured bacterium
Lineage: Bacteria
Description: bacterial SSU rRNA
Rfam family: Bacterial small subunit ribosomal RNA
Source: RNAcentral
AGGGUUUGAUUCUGGCUCAGAUUGAACGCUGGCGGUAUGCUUAACACAUGCAAGUCGAACGGAAACGAAACUAGCUUGCUAGUAGGCGUCGAGUGGCGGACGGGUGAGUAACGCGUAGGAAUCUGCCUGAUAGUGGGGGAUAGCCCGAAGAAAUUCGGAUUAAUACCGCAUAAUCUAUUCGUAGUAAAGUGGGGGACUUUCGAGCCUCACGCUAUCAGAUGAGCCUGCGUAAGAUUAGCUUGUUGGUAGGGUAAAAGCCUACCAAGGCAACGAUCUUUAGCUGGCCUGAGAGGAUGAUCAGCCACAUCGGGACUGAGACACGGCCCGAACUCCUACGGGAGGCAGCAGUGGGGAAUAUUGGACAAUGGGGGCAACCCUGGUCCAGCAAUACCGCGUGUGUGAAGAAGGCCUGAGGGUUGUAAAGCACUUUCAAUUGUGAAGAAAAGUUAGCGGUUAAUAACCGUUGACCUUGACGUUAACUUUAGAAGAAGCACCGGCUAACUCCGUGCCAGCCGCCGCGGUAAUAC